Molecule: ribosomal RNA, 492 nt
Filed under: uncultured bacterium
Lineage: Bacteria
Description: partial 16S ribosomal RNA
Rfam family: Bacterial small subunit ribosomal RNA
Source: RNAcentral
AGUGAACGCUGGCGGUAGGCCUAACACAUGCAAGUCGAACGGCAGCACAGUAAGCUCUUGCUCUUACGGGUGGCGAGUGGCGGACGGGUGAGGAAUACAUCGGCAUCUACUUUUUCGUGGGGGAUAACGUAGGGAAACUUACGCUACUACCUCAUACGACCUACGGGUGAAAUCAGGGGAUCUUCGGACCUUUCCCGAUUGUAUGAGCCGAUGUCGGAUUAGCUAGGUGGCGAGGUAAAGUCCCACCAAGGCGACGAUCCGUAGCGGGUCUGAGAGGAUGGGCGGACACAAUGGAACUGAGACACGGUCCAGACUCCGACGGGAGGCAGCAGUAGGGAAUCGGACGCAAGGGGCGAAAGCCUGACGGAGCAACGCCGCGUGAGUGAAGAAGGUCUUCGGAUAGUAAAACUCUGUUAUUAGGGAAGAAAAAAUGUGGAAGUAACUAGGAACGUCUUGACGGUACCUAAUCAGAAAGCAACGGCUAACUACGUG